UACGAAGGGGGCUAGCGUUGUUCGGAAUUACUGGGCGUGAAGCGCGCGCAGGCGGUCUUCCAAGUCAGUGGUGAAAGCCCGGAGCUCAACUCCGGAACUGCCAUUGAAACUGUAAGACUUGAGGAUGAGAGAGGUGAGUGGAAUUCCCAGUGUAGAGGUGAAAUUCGUAGAUAUUGGGAAGAACACCAAUGGCGAAGGCAGCCCGCUGGGACGGUACUGACGCUGAGACGCGAAAGCGUGGGGAGCAAACAGG
This 253-nucleotide ribosomal RNA is filed under the name uncultured bacterium. RNAcentral's name for it is "partial 16S ribosomal RNA". It matches the Rfam family "Bacterial small subunit ribosomal RNA", at positions 524 to 776 of the family's 1533-position model. The record is from RNAcentral.